GCUGAGAUGUCCGAGCGGUCUAAGGAGCUGGAUUCAAGUGAAAGAGAGUGCUACUCCCACUUGCGUGCAUCGCACGUGUAGUUCCCAGUAGGGCAACCUGCGGGGGUUCGAAUCCCCCUCUCAGCA
Molecule: non-coding RNA, 126 nt
Organism: Puccinia sorghi
Lineage: Eukaryota; Fungi; Basidiomycota; Pucciniomycetes; Pucciniales; Pucciniaceae
Source: Rfam